Molecule: unclassified non-coding RNA, 384 nt
Filed under: soil metagenome
Description: partial contains 5.8S ribosomal RNA, internal transcribed spacer 2, and large subunit ribosomal RNA
Rfam family: 5.8S ribosomal RNA (bases 1-120)
Source: RNAcentral
GAUGAAGAACGUAGCGAAAUGCGAUAGGUAAUGUGAAUUGCAGAAUUCAGUGAAUCAUCGAAUCUUUGAACGCGCAUUGCGCCCUUUGGUAUUCCUUAGGGCAUGCCUGUUCGAGCGUCACUACACACCUUAUCACAAUAUUUGUGGUCUUGGCAGGAGUGAAUUGCUGGUCUAUGGAAGUAUUCCAGCAGUACACAAUGCUAAAAAAUAUGGGAAGGUUACCAGAUAUGAACAACAGACUUUGUAAAUGGUUGUAGGACCUAGAUCAGUCACAACUCAUGUCUGGUCCCUUACCUUAAGGACCCCCAUCCUAGAUGAACUAUGGGUUGACCUCGGAUCAGGUAGGAAUACCCGCUGAACUUAAGCAUAUCAAUAAGCGGAGGA